GCUGAAAGCAUCUAAGCGGGAAGCCCCCUUCAAGAUGAGACUUCCCUGAGGCCUUGCGCCUCCUGAAGGGCCCUUGAAGACUACAAGGUUGAUAGGCUGGGUGUGGAAGCACAGCAAUGUGUUGAGCUAACCAGUACUAAUUGCCCGUGAGGCUUGACCAUAUAACACCCAAGGGGUUU
Molecule: ribosomal RNA, 179 nt
Filed under: Cobetia sp. UCD-24C
Lineage: Bacteria; Pseudomonadati; Pseudomonadota; Gammaproteobacteria; Oceanospirillales; Halomonadaceae
Description: partial 23S ribosomal RNA
Rfam family: Bacterial large subunit ribosomal RNA (bases 1-161)
Source: RNAcentral